Molecule: long non-coding RNA, 14044 nt
Organism: Amphiprion ocellaris (clown anemonefish)
Lineage: Eukaryota; Metazoa; Chordata; Actinopteri; Pomacentridae
Exons: 2
Source: RefSeq, a predicted model, not a curated record
CUGAGAGUUUUUUUUGGAUUUAAUAUAAAUGAUCACGCUCAUCAACACUUUUUGUGGUUUAUCCAAGUUAUUUUUUAAUGUUUUGAAAUUUUAUACAUCUAUAUAUUUAUUAAAUGAGACAUUGUUUUGAUUGUGGCGUGUUCAUCCAGUGAUAUAUCAGCCUCUAAACACACAUUCUUAAAGUAGAGGUCAUAUAUCCAUGAACUCUGUGCGUCUUGCUUUGCGCAUGGAUUUUUUCCAAAAGUUUACAUAGUGUGAUAUCCCAGGAGUGAUCUUAGGACAUAACAGGAUGACCAUUAAGACAGAGUAGUUUUCAGUGCUCGAGUUUCAAAGAAAACCCCGCUUCUCUGUCCAUUAGUGAAAGCUCCGCGGGGACCCUUUAACCUCCAUCUCAGAUCGCUGUCGUGCGUCAUUGGGAAGUGGAGAACUUGUCACAGUGGCACCGGGGACCGUGAAGUGGCCCGCUGGACGCAGAUAAGUCCACCUGCUUCCCGUUCAGGGGGCGUCCAGGAUAUGUAAUCUGGAUCAUAACAACUUGUCAGACGCACAAACAGUAGUAGAGCUACAUCCGCUGACUGUAAUGGCGCCGCUAAUGGAACGUGGUUUAAUAUCAUGAAUUGGCGUAUCAAUGGCAAUUCAUUCAGAAGACGCCAGGUUGUUUAACCUUGAAGUAAUCUGCGUCCAUCCCUGUUAAGUGGAUUAUAUUGAUUGAACAUGUCCAUCCACUGCCAAAGCACCAUGUUGGGAUUCAGUGUAGUAGCAAGCUGCUUGUGUUUACAGUGAGCAUGUGCCUGCAGAUCAGUCACAACACAGUGAAGGGCUGACACAGACAGAGCAGGAGGAUGGAUAAAUAUACUGUGGAUAUAGAGGGAGAGAUAAUCAAAUAACAGCAUGUGGAUGAAGAAAAGCAUGUUGGAACUGAUUACAGCUCAGCAGCAUCUCAGUUCUCAUGUCUGUCUUGCUGUAAUUGCUUCCAUUGCCUUUGGCUUUAUUGAGAUGACAAAAUAGCAAAGCAUGAAGAAACAAGCCAGGAAAUACACCCCAUUUUCAGAGGACAUGUAUGUUAUAAAAUCACAAUCAUGUGUGCAAACUGAAUUGACAUUUCUCUCGCACCCAUCACUGCUCCAAUUAGGUAGAUGCACACUGACAUUAAAGCAGCACAGAGCAUAUUUGCACACAUUUACCCAUCAGCCCGCUGCUGUUUUGACACGCAUUGCACUGAUCAAAGACACUUCGUACUCAUUUGCAAACUUGCCGCAAAGAGCCUAUUUUUAAGGAGAUAUGAUACAACAAACAGAAUAAUCUCCUCUUGCUUCCACUGCUCUGAACAUGAUCACAGCAGGAGCUGCAGUGGUGAGAAUCCAUCACUGCUCUCGGAGAUAAAUGCGCUCCCCCCUUUGUGUAUUUGUAAAAUGUGUUUGGCAGGAGUUUUUCUUAAAAUACUGUAAAUCAUAAUUUGUGUCAAGAUACUUUUGGGAGCAUUGUUUUUUUUGCUUCCCACAUCCCCAGAAUGAAAUCGCUUUCUGGAAGUGAUGUGAUUAUUAUCAAAUUUGUUUUUUUUUUUCUCACAUAUUUGCGAUAGAUGCUCUUGUGCUCAUGAGGCACAGAACAGUCAGCCACCAUAGCAGUGAGAAUAAAAACAUCCUGUCUCACCAAAAGCAUGCUUACUGAGAAGUUCCCAAACAAACUGCUGUUUUUUGGGCCAACUCCUGAAUCAAAAUGUUCAUUUAGAUUUAAGAAAAAGAUUGAGGUAAUGGCUUGAUAUGGAGCCUUUGGGCAAACACUGGUUGUAGGUAUCUGUUGUGCUUCUUAUCACUCUUCUGAUUUGGCUUCUAGAAAUAAGCAUCGUGGAAGCAAUAAUGGUUUCAAAUCUAGAUUUUGAUACAGGAAGACUUUGCAAGACAAAUAUUCAAACAGUGAAAUCUGCACAACACACACUGAGUGUUAUGCUGUUAAUGGCCUCAUUAAACCUCUGUGACGUCACUGGUAGAUUUACUGAAGACCAGUUUGGAAGCUCAGUGGCUCCAGUCAUUGGUAUCUUGACUCCUCCUAAUUCCCUGCUAAUCCAAUAAUUAACAAAGAGGUGGAGUGUAAAUGGAAUUGAGAUGAGCCAUCCAAAUAUUUCUGGGCUUCAAACUGUCCUGUGACAGCACUCCACUGUCACUCAAAGUGGCCACAGCUUUAGUUAUGCAUAACUUUAAACCUUAAUACAGCUGAAACAUCUGAGUUAUAGAAAAGCUCCUCCCAUGUACAGUUGAUAUGAGUGAGGAUAUUAGCUAUAGAGAUCAAAACCAUUUUUGUACGAGGUCUUUGUGUACACACAUUUAUUUUCGCUGUACAGCUAAAAACUUUAACGUGGGGUUCGUAUUCGGACUGACCCUUGAGUGGUCAUUCAUAGAGCUGCAAUUUUUUUGUAACUCCGCAUUUGCUUAAUUUUUCAACCCAGGAGGUUGCUUCUUAGGUUCACCUACUUCUCCAGCCUUUAAUGAAACUCUCUUUCUCCACUGACCCUAUUCAGAGAAGUCAAACUGCUAAUUAAUUAAUAGACUUAAAUUAUACAGAAGACAAGAUCUAAAGAUACAGCAACCAAUGAAAUAUUUAAAAGAAAAUGGUGAUGUCUGAACUCUAAGCGGUAAUGUUAAUGUGCCUACCAGACCUCCUUUAUACACUGUAAGUUUGUGAGAAAAUGUCACAGUAAACAGAAAAAAUCUGUUGAUUCCCUAUUGUUCUGUACUAGUCAUUUUCAUGCAUUUUUUAAAAAUGGAAAAAUAAUGUAGUUUCGUUGUGUUUUUUCCUGUGUUUGAGCACAUGGAUUCAAAGCCAGCAAUGUGACUUAACUAAUCAGCAAAAAGAAAAAGCUAAACUAAACCAAAAACAAACUAGAUUUCUCUAAUUUUCCCUUUAUCCUGUCCAAAUACAGAUAGCAGACUAAAAGUCUUUUAACAACACUUUUCAUCCCCUUCUAUUGACUGUACCUGUCUCUUUCUUGUUUCAGUGCUUUACUUUAAUUCCUCUAGUCUAACUUUGUCUUACCUAACCAGAAGCAAGAAAUGCUCCGAGCGUGACGUGUGCCAGCCUGUCCUGACUUACAGGUUUAACAAACACAUGCACUCUCGCAUAUGAACAAAUGACUGCUAGUGACUGCGGCACACUAAGCGCUAACACUGGUUGUUUGGGCUUCAGCUGACUCAGAUUUACAGUGAAACCGCAGCUUCCUGUUUCUGUUUAUUGGGAUCUAACAGUAGCAUCUUUGCCACAGCGUCUCUAAUCUCUCCACAAUAAUAGGUCAGUGUAACAAAGCGCUGCUGUGGUUUUUGACGUGCUGCACUGUUUUGACACACCUCCGAGGACGUCUGGCCUUUGUGCCGGGUUGAUGGGAUUGCCUUGGGGUGUGUUAACUUGACAAUGACACGUUCAUAUGCAAGGACACACCAAUCCCCAACACAGAGGGCUUUAGAAAAGCAUGUGAGGUUGAUGGCGAGGCACUCCCCGUGAUAAAACUGUGCUCGGCUCCAAAUGUAAACAGGGAUUUCAACUUCAUUUAUCAGCCAGAAGGUCGUAUUUGUAUUUUCAGGUUCACCCACGGUUUAAUGGUCCUUGCACACACACACACACACACACACACACACACACACACACGGUCAGAGUUCUUCAGCAUCUUGUGCAAAUGCAAAUACUGCAUAUUUGUGAGAAUGGGUUUGUGUUUGGGUAGUCACUUUCUUACAUGCUCUCUGUUGGCUGGUCGCUCAUGAUCCAAACUAUUUAUCGUUUCGGUAAACAAGUAGGUCUACAAGUUACAACAAAACCUUCAGCAGGUUUAUGGAAUAUAGCAUUACUCACUAGAGUCUACAAAAUGCCAGCAGCUGUUUCUGAGUCAUCUGUUUUGGAGAAAGACGUGAAAUUUAUCAUCGCCAGUCAAUAGUUGAAUGAUUGUAAUUGUAAUGCAGCGCAGCCAUGAUAGUAGAAUUUCUCAGGCCAGGAGAGUUACUCUAGGACAGUUUGUACUUCAGUAUAUCCAGCCUUUGCUAUUUAAAACCCAGGAACUGCUAUCAAUAUGCUUUUGUGCACCAAUUGUAUGAGACUGUCCUCAACAGUUAAAGUGGAUGAAAGAGAAAAGGCAGAUGGAGCAGGUGAAGGACAAGUCACAAAGGUGCUGUUACAUUUGUAAGAUCCAUUAUUUACAGUCGUCUUUGAGAUAUCUUCACUUUUAACUCACUCUCUCUACAAAACUAGAUUGUUCAAUUCUCAGUCUUUUGUCAUAUUUUUCCUGCCAUAUCUGUGAGACUUUCCUCCUAAGUUUGAAACACAGAGCCAAAGUUGAGAAAAUUGCUGUUUGAAAGAAAGGAUUUGUAAUUCUUGCUGAAUAUAUGACAAUUAUAGGAUAACGCUAAAUGCUAAACCCUUUUGUAACACUAGUACGAGAAGAGUUUCAUAGUCAGUGAUGUAGCUCUAUUCCAAGUUAUAUUAUUCAUACUAGGCCGAGUACAUCAGUAGACGCUAAAUCCCUGAGUAUAUACACACUCAAGUAGGUUUAAUUGCUUAUUAUUUCAACUUUUCAACUCAGAGGAAGAAAGCCUUUUUUCUAAAGUUACAUAGACUCACUUUAAAAAGCCACGAUGUAAAACAUCAUAAAGGAAUUUAACCAUCUUUAUAAGUUUACUUAAUGUAAAUAUAUGAGUUUUGCUCAUUUGUACCUAAUUGAACAUAAAUCGUUCCUUUUUUUAGAUUUUAAGACCACUUUCGAAUUUAAAAACAUAAAGUUAUAAGCUGAGCCAUUUUGAUUUAAACUGUUGACCUAAAUAAAUGAACAUCUGAGAGUUUAUUUAAAUGAUUUAAUUAAGUGUAUAAGAAACAAAUGUAGCAUAUAAGCAGGAUCCUUCCCAGGAUGCAAUGUUUGUAGAUAAAGAAAACAGAAAUGGUGGAAACUUGCUGUGUGCCGCUGGUAAAUGAAGUUCUUGUUGUUAUGUCCUUUGUGUUAUUAUAACAGUUCCAUCCAUUACAAAGGUUGGUAUAAAAUUCAGACUCUACACCUCUACAAUCAUAAUUUAUCUCAUUGUAACUGGGAGCAGCCUCACAAAUUGUCUUUGUACUGACUGGUAAAAAUGGCUUCAACAGUUGAGGCUUUAAGUUCUGUAUGAAAAGAACAAGUCUGUCUGUGACAAUGUGAUUUGUUGAUUCAAACUGAUAUCUAAAGUUUACUUAAAGCUGGUUUUACACUCUCACAACUCAUGAGAUGACUUUAAAUUAAUUAGGCAGCCAAACUGCAGUCGUCUCAUAUUUGAAGGCAGCAGGGGGACUCAGGUUUCUAAGCUGAAUGAACUCACAAUGAUUUACAGUGCAGUUGGAGCCAAACCAUAAUAUGAAAGUGAUUCCACAGAGCAGUUCUCUUUGCGACAAGCAAACCAAUCUUCAUUUUUGAAAUUGCUAUGUGCCCCUUUAAGGCGGAAAAGCAAAGAGCAGAGGUCUGUACCUCCUCCACAGUGUGGUUCCUGAUGUCUGUACACUGUAUAUUGUCAUUGGCUCACUUAUUCAUCUGCUAAGGAGCAGAGGUGGAAGCUGCAGUGGGACUGGUUCCACUGACUCAUACCACUGCUGCACACAAAACACACCAGGCUUCAUAGUAAAUAAGUGAAACUCAGGGCUGUCUUUAGAGGGCUGGAUUGUCUGUCCAACAGAAACCUGUGGGCUGUGGGUGAGAUGGAUCGAAGCGUAUGCAUCGGACUCCCUCACCCCCACCCUCAGGCGUUUGUAAUCCCAAGGUGAAGUUGUUGAGUCAGCCGCGUGGUGGGAGUGGAAGAGGUUUGAUGGAUUAAACUCUUAUCCUCACUCACCCACUUCACGUUUCCUCUGGACACCAUCGCCUGAUGAAUUACAAUUGGCCUGGAGGAAGCAGGAGGAGAGGGAAAAGACGGAGAGGAAGAAAGUGUUCAAAACGAGAUUGAUGCUUGGUCUCUGUUUGAACUGACCUUUACAGACUUCUCAGACACAUUAGUUCGGCAUAGUUCAUACAGCUGUGGGGUUUUAGAGCAAGAGUAGGUAAUGCGGUAUCAAAACAGCACUUUGUGACAUUUUCAUAGAAAGAAGUAGGAUUUACCUCAUUUUUAUAAACAAGGAACAAACCUCUCGAACAAAAAAUUAAUGUAAGCUUUUAGAUUUGCAGUUCCAAACAUCUGGUGUCUGCUAUGUCCCUCUAUUAAUGAUACAUUUCAUACUUCAGCUUUACUUGGAGUAGUAGGCAGGGAUAUUAAGAAUAGUCAUAAUAGAUAAAAGAAAGCAUCAUCGCCUGCAGAAAGCCUUCAAGUGAGCUGUUAUCAUACACAACAUGGCCUAAAGUAUGUGGAUUCACAAGAUGUUGGAAGCUGGCUGUGGGGAUUCGUUCCCAACACGGUGUUAAUGAGGUCCGGUGAUGAUGCCUGGCUCAUGGUCAGCAUUCAAAGUCCAUCUCAGAAGGUGCUGGAUGGGGUUGAGGUCAAGUUCUUUGACAGUAAACGUCGAAAAUCACUCCUUAAAAAAGCUUGAGUUUGUGUAUGUAGAUACUUGUGCUGAAACAAGAUAGAUACCGACUGCCACAAAGAUACAGACAGUGUUAUUAUUAUUCCAAAUAUUAUUGUGUGCUGUAGCAAUAAGAGUUCACUUCACUGGUACAAACCAUGAAACAUAAGUCCAGAAUGCAUACCCCUGGCUAUGCAUUUGCUGAUUUUGGCACGACUUCAUGUUCAGGACUGAAUAAAAGAACGGAAAUCUGUCCAGAGAAAAUGUUCACUUGAGUAAGUUACACACAGUUGUGUCAAUCUCAGGGGUUCCCUCCCAUUACACCACUCAACACUCACCCUCUCCCACAACUCGGAGUCCUGCUCCUCCGCUAGCACACCGUUACCUGAACCUGCUAUUCCCAGCCCUCAGCCCAGCCCUUCAUGAAAGACAAGCCUUGUUAAAGACAGAGAAAACUAACCUGGGUUUGUGAAACCUCUCACAAAGAGGAGAAGAGGCUCUUUGUAAUCACUGAGCUCUUUGUGUGUUUGGUCCUGUCCUAAGUGUUUCCUCUAAAACCGGCGCAACAGAGAAUCGGGUUUCCUCCGGUGGUCCCUUUGUUUCUCAGUCAUAAUGAAGAGAGGAAAGGCACAAACACACACCGUCGAGGAAAUAAUGUAAUGAAACCAAUUCCCUGAUUCGGAGUUUUGUGCCAGCUGCUUGAUUUCUCCUGCAGUGUUUCCUCCCCACUCUUAAAGUAGAAGAGGACUUCAUAUCCUCUUUGUAAAUGAUAACAGCAUGCAGGUCUGCAGGGCACACAGGAAAGAAAACACCUCUUAAACAUUGACUGCUAACUGUGCGGGUAUCCCCAUGUUACCCUCAGAUGAGAUGAUGUAUUGUGCUAUCUGAUCGUGGAUGCUUUUCACUCUGUUCCCUUUGCUGUUCACCAAUCUGCAUAUUCACGAGCAACUGCACCAACGAGCCCCGAAGCUCACGAACAGGCGACAUGAAAACACGGUUUGUUCACUCUGCGGAUUGUUUUUAUAGAUAUUCAAUGAAAAUAUUUAGAAUACCAGAGAAUGUUUGCUGAGCAGUUAUGACAAGCGUUCUAUAUACCAAGCGUUCCUCUCUGCAGUGUGAAACACACCCAGAAAGGCCUGGAAAUGCAAAAGUUUUGCAAUGCUUCCCUUGGUAAUGGUAACUAGGGUGAAUGAUUCAGUCUGAUGAGAGUGUUUGUUUGCUGGUCUGUUAGUUAGCAGAGAUUUAGUGAGGUGUGGUGAAAAGCCAGUCGAGGAAGAGGGAAGGUAAGUGUUUAUUGUUUGGUGCAGAACAUACUGUGCAUGAUUUUCAGCCUUGGCAGAACACUGUCAGAGCGUAUUGUUUAACCAGUUCAUAAAAAUAGACCAAAACUUCUGGGUUUUGUUUCAGAAGUACAAAAAAAAAAAAACCCCAUUCAAUGAAAUUUGAUGACUAAAAGUCCAGCCAUGGAACACAAGUUUUUUCGACAAUAUGUAUGCUUUAGAUGAGGGGUGCAGCUUUUUAUUCUUUAUUCAGCAUUUUUUGAAAUCCUUUACCAACCCAAGAGCAAUUCUUUCUUUGAUUUUCCUGAAAAAGUGAAGCAAUUUAUAUGAGAAAUUGACAUCCAAUACAAUAGCUGGCAUGAGAAAUCUGAGCCUUACUGUCCUUUAAACAUUUAUACAUUGUUCUGACAUGCAAAGCAACACUCACUAGAAGGGUAGGACCUUUUAUGAUGUGGAUUAUCUAAGGCUUCAUCAAUCCAUUGAGAUCACUGCAUUCUGACAUUAAGACAUGGCUCACUUUUAAUGUUAGCACACGACAGUUGCUAUACAUGAGAGACUGACAGUACAUUAAGUGACAUAACACAUUAUAGUACACUAAUAAAUUUAAAACUAAAGAAUUUAAAUCUAUCUAUGUACCAAAUAAUUUACCUACAGCUUAUAAACUGUGACUUUGAGGUGAAGAAAAGUACACAUCCUGUCAGGGAUAAUUUACAGUAAGUUAGUGGCUGCUGUUGCUCUGUGUGGAAAUGAGAACAAAUCUCUCACUUUGGUGAUGCUUAUAGGGAUAUUCUACUGCUGUCUGAUGCUGCAGGUAUUUCAUAAAUUAAUGUGACGGCAUGCAGUUUAGACUUGUGCUGCCCUGAAAGUGAUAAGGAAAUGUAGCUACAUCUGUCCUCGUAAGAUUGCCGUUGUGACUUAUGUGGUAAAUUAUUGGAGUUUGGCCUUUUUGCUGUCACUGUCUUUUAAAGCUGGAUGUGAGAAUAAAGAGGACGAUCUGAGAACUCAGGGAUGCUUUGCACUGUCACACUGUAGCAACUUGUCAAGCAAAAGGUAGCCACUCCCUAAGGCAUACCCUGUUUCAUCAUCUCAAUCACUCUAAAUGGGACAGUCAUUUUCAAAAUUAGCAUCAUGCUGUGUUGAAGGCGAUUUGAAACUAGAAUUAAUAACAUGUUCACUUAGGUAACAAAUGCAAUGAGAAGAAAGGUAAUUUUCUCAUAGAUUUCUAUACAACUGCUUUUCUUUUUGCCACCGAGGAGUCGCCCCCUGUUGGCCAACAGAGAGAAUGCAAGUUUAAGGCCCAGAAGCUAUGUCCAUCUUUUAUGUAGUCCACAGUCUAAGAAAAAUUCACAUCCAAUGCAAAGGUUAGAACAUGAAAUUGUUGCCUUAUAAACUUCCAAACCAUUCCGAACUGCAUUUGUGCCAGCUUUUACAUGUAUAGCAGCAUUUACUUGGAGGGCAGGACUGAGUGGACAACCAGUUCCAAGUACAAAAAGAGAACAGAAUGCUUCUUUCAGCUAUAGCAGAAUAAAAAUGACUUCUGCCACACCGUUCUUUCUGCACCAAGAUAGGAAAUGCAUUUGGCAAUGUGAGACUAAAGGCGUUGUAAAGCAUCUCAGCAUGGAGGUUAUGCACUUUAGAACUUGCCCAGACUCUUUGACACUGGAUGAAAUAUUAUACAGGCAGGUCGAAGACUACUUGAUAUUUUUCUGCUUCUUUGGAAGGCUUUUAUACAAUCUUGGGAUGACCGCCAAGUCAAGCAAACCUAAUCACACUCGAGUGGGCUUGGUUUGAUUAUUUUUCAGCAGAUGAAAGUAUUUGCCCUCCUUGGCUUCAGACAGGCCAGCAGACCGGUGCAGUUUGUACCAAGUAGUGUUGGCAGGUGGAAUAAAAUGCAUUAAAGGUUCAGCAAGUUCAUUUUAUUUUGAUAUAUUGGACGUAUUGAUAUACAUUAUGGACUAUUGCCAGCACCAGUACAUCUAACGGUGCUUGUGUGUGUCUGUGUGGACUUGUGCCAAAAGCAACCCUCCUGAGAGAUGACGACCCUGACAAUAACACACACUCAUGCAGACACACGCACAUAACAAUAGAGGAUAACUUUUUACGACCUGUUCUAACUAUUCCUGGUGCUAUAUCUGUUCAUGGACUCACACAUCUGGAGUUUACAUUGACAGAAAUAUGCAUAAACACCCACAUGCAUGCACCCUCUCCAGACAUUUGUGUUUGAUAUGAUGUUGACUUGAGAUGGAAUCUCAUGCGGGAAAGUCUUUCAUUUCUGGUACAACAGUUUCAAGUUAAGGCAUUCAGGCAUCCAAGUGUCAGCACGCUUUGCUCAAUGACUGUAAUUUGGUCUUUUUAAUUACCAGUGAAUAGUUUAAUAGAUCUCCUUCAGAUGUGACACUGUAUUUAUUCACUUUAAUGAGUGAAACAUGGAGUAGAGACCAAAUCUGAAUAAAGAGGUUUAACUGAUGCUUUAUAUGAUCUGUUUUCUUCUUGUUUUGCCAAUCUGAGAGUCCUCCACAAAGGAAUUAACUCCCAGCGUGGGUGUUAUAAAUACAGUGGUGAAAAGUAACUAAGUCUGUUUCCGCAAGUUCUGUCUUUAAGUACAAUUUUGUCAUAUUUGUAGUUGAAAUGUUUCCAUUUAAUGGUACUUCAUUGCAGUAAAUGGAAGAAGAUUUUACACAAUGGAUGAUAAAACAAUCUUAUAAAAUACAACAUGUUAAAGAUUAAACCAGUGGUUUCCAACCUUUUAGGCUUCUUACAAGCCAUAAAAUGUGACAUUUCAGAUGUUUAUAAGUUGUUAACAGCUCAACCAAACAGAUGUUUCUCUCCUAAAUUUCUGACGUUUUAUUUUUUCAAUAAAUGUGAAAACUAUCCAUUAUCUCACACAAAAUUAGAGAAAAAGCUUAUUUGCAACUGCAGAUUUGUGUAUCAGAGUUUUGUUUUUCUUCUUUCCUCUUCCAUUAAUCGUCUUAGAUUUAACUGGUGUCUCUGGAUAUAAAACUGUAUAUGCAGUAGUUCAAACUUCCAGCAGCUACAACAGUAACAUGCUGCUAAGUGUUAACAAUCAAAUGAUGUCAGAUAUAAUAAUAUAUCAGCCGAAGGGAGACAAUUAGUUUAUUUACUUUAAAGAUUUUUCUUUUGGCAUUUUGCCUUUUUUUGAUUUUAAAAAAUGAAACAAAUGGAGAACAUCAUGCAGUGAGGGUUCAUUCAGCAAGGAAUCAAACCAGGGAGUCACUGCUGACAUUUGCACACAUGUUCUGCAACCAAACCACUCAAUUGACACUAUUUUAUUACUUGAGCGACACUUUCUGUUAAUUUAAUAGGUACAUGCUUUUAUGUGAGUAGGAUUGGAAUGUUUUUUGUUUUUUUUAGUUGCUGUGCUGGUACUUUCACCAAAGAUAAUGAUAUGAAUAUUUCUUCCACGACAGUUUUUAGAUGAAAUGUGUACUUUGUAAAUGUACCUCAGACUGGCUCCUUCUCAUUUUCUUCUCCAAGUUCCUGCAAGAGGUAAAUGAAUAAAUAAGUAAAAAUGACAGCAGUAUAAAUGUAUACAUUUCUCUGGACGCCUCAGUAGGCUACAUAUCUCCGACUAAAUAAGCUGUGAAAGCUCUCUCCCUGUCUCUGGAUGCUGGGUGUGGUCAGCACUGACCGGACAGGAUGUUCAGACAUAAACAACUGAGCGACUUAGGCUGGACAAAAAAGCGUGUUGGAGAAGAAGAAUGGACGCACAAACAAGCAAACAAACAGGCAGUUUUAUCUUAUCUUGUCCUUACAGACUGCAAUUAUGAAGAAUACAUUUUCCAUCAUUUUGUUAUCCGCUCCAUCCACACACUCAAAACUCACUUGUCUACUCUACCGUCCUGCUGUUGUUUAUCACUUUAGCUCAGUUACUCAUUUCUGCUUAUUUAUCUAGUUUAUUCCUCAAAAUGACUCAAGUUCUGCGCUCCUAAUGUCUUUACUCAUGUAAUGGCACGCAUCCUCCUCGCCAAUUAGUGCCUGCUAAUGACCGAUUAAAUAGUGAUCAUGUACUUUCCGCCGCAGGGAAAAUUUAGUAAUUGAGGCACUGUACGUAGCCCUAACAGGGCUGCCAUUCCACUAAUAUCCAUUUUGCCUUCAAAAAGGCCCAAUUAACCUCAAUUCCUAAUCAGCUCAGCUUGCGUCAAAGGACGGCGCAGUUGAAAGCAUUCUACUUUUUUGUUAUUCAAAGGAGAUUAGCAAUGCUUAUUUAAAUUCAUGUACUGUAAAUAGACUUGGUUAAGGGCAGAAAUGUGAAAUGAGGUGUCAUGGCCUGGAGGACCUGUGCUCUCCGCUGAGAUUUGAAGCAUGAUGAAUCAUUUCAGCUUGAGCUUUUAAAACAAUUCGGUAGAGGGGGAUGCACAUCACACUACAUUGCUCUGCAAAUCUUCCAUGUACGCUAUGAUCUCUGAAGUAAAUGUGCACAAACAGAGGAGUCUAACUGUGAACGCUGAUAUCUGAGUAGUGAACGUUAUUAGAUGUUAUUUUCCCCUUUUCCUCUAAGUGUAAACAGGAUGGGCUGCAGCUAUGAUGGCUUCCCGACUGUGGUGCUUUGGGCUAACGGCUAAUGUCACCAUCCAAAUGUGAAUAUGAUAAUGUUUAUCAAGUAUAAUACCAUAUUACCAUCUUAGUUUACAGACAUUAACAUUUUCUGAAUAGCACUGAGCAUGACAUAGAGAUGAUUAUGAUGGCAAUAUUUAGCAAAUGUUCCAUCUUCAAGCUAAAAAGUGCUGUAGAAUUUUGAACAAAUAUAGCAGCAAAUGAGCAUCUAUGAUGUAAAGAUAAAAUGGAGUAAUAGUUUACUUUACAAGGAAGGUUUUGUUGGUUCCUUGCUCAUAGGGAAUCCAAAAAACAACUUUGUAUUGUUAGGUUUUCAGUUCUCUGCUUAAAAUAUGUGGCAUGGGAUGACAUAUGUUGUGAAAUGGUGCUAUAUAAAUAAAACUGAAUUGAACUCACACUCACUCUGUGUGUGUUGUAAGCUCAGCUUCUCUGUUGUAUGUCCUGGCAGUCAGUCCGGUUGUGUGUUCAUGUUACUGCAUGUGAAUCCCUCCCUUUGAAACUGAUAGCCCUACCCGCAUUCAUACACAGAACAAAAGCGACCUCUCACACCGCACUUUAAAAGUAAAAGUGUGAUCCAGCAUCUGUGGCUGUUUCCACACAUGGGACUCCCUCAGGUCAUCCAAGUUUGUCUAUGGGUCCAUCACGUUCCAAUGGAUCAUGGAAACAGACACACAUGGAGUGGAGCAGACAAGACUUUAGAUGGUACUCGAAUUGACAAUAGGUCAUUACAGCCAUUCAAUAUAUUUUGCAAUGCUAGUAUAUGCUAAUAGUCGUGGCUGGAUUAUUUCUCAUUGGCUCAGGUGGACAAUCUCACUGUAAAUGAAAGUGAAGGAAUUGAGAAGAUGAUGUGGCCCACGUGCCUGUUUGAUUUGACCUGAGAUGCUGGUGCUCUAGUGACAUUCAAUGUUUGUAAAAAGUUACACACAGAACUGAUCACGUAGUUUUAGGGUAAGUAAAAUGCUGGUCUGGUGAUGCGAAAUGAAAGCUUAAAGAAUCACCAGAGUAAAGGCUGGGUUAUGCUUUCCACACGAACGAGCCGCGUGGAAAUGAGACGCUUGGAAGUCCACUCGAGAGACCGUGUGUGACUUCAUAUUCCUUGUGGCGGCUGCCCCCAAACUACAGGGGGCAGUGUAUCGCAAACAUACGUCUACCUAGUCUACUCUAGUACCAAACUAGAGUAGAAGAAGUUUGCAACAAGGCAUUUUAAAGAAUAGUUGCAUUUCAGCAGUUAGUUUUAAUUUCACACCAUGAAUUGUUCAUAACCCGGUUGUCACGGUGAUCGUAGUGUGAUGAAUUGUAUAAAUGCCUGUAUUUCUGAACUUCUGCUGCUAGGAGCUCCUGUUCUUCCGCCAGCUUUCCACGUGUCUCCAUUCGCGUAAUUAGAAAAACUUGGAGGUGCGCGACGUGGAAAUUUUGCGCUUGAGAAGAUCCGUGUGAGGGGGCGUGGCUGCUAAAAUGACGUAAUUUGUCCGCACGGAGCCGCAUGGACUUCAUGGUCGCGGCAAGAAUAAAACAAGUUUUUCCAAAAAAUUCACCGAUCAUGCCAGUUUAUGAAACAUGCCUAGGAUUCAUCAUAUGGAGACCAUGAACAUUAGAAUUCAACAGUACAACAAUCUAUCCAGAAAUAUUUCAGCCUCAACCAGAGUAAUUACCCUGUUGAAUGACUGACAGUGCCAAAAAAUAAGCUGCUUGCAUGG